Molecule: long non-coding RNA, 1741 nt
Organism: Crocodylus porosus (Australian saltwater crocodile)
Lineage: Eukaryota; Metazoa; Chordata; Crocodylia; Crocodylidae
Source: Ensembl
AAGCAAGCUGCCAGGAUUAUGACGGGGCCGCGGGCUGAGAGAGAGCAGUGCUUUCCUGCCUCGGAAAGUACGUGCUGCGAGGGGUGAUGCGCAUCGACUCGCUGGUGCAGCUGAGUCACGCUGAGCUGGCAAGCAUUUCAUCUAAACGAGCUGAAGUUUCCCCUCCACAGUGAGCAGUUGAGGCCGUCUGUGGUUAUACAAGGUAAAGGAAGGAGGCGGCUGGCACCACCGAGCCGGCAUCCUGCCUCUCCUAGUGAGUCACGCUGCAGGCCCAGUCCACCAGUUGUGUUCCCAGGGGCGUCUCUGUAUUGCUCGAGAGGUGGCAGUAACAGGUCGUGCAUGUGACGGCGUGGUCCCGUUGCCUCGAUCAUUUCCGCAUUGCUUUCUAGCGUGAUGACUAUGAGGCGGGUGCAAGUCCUGCCAUCCCUUGCCCUUGCUGGUAGCUGACCCUGGCUGUGGUAUGCAGCAGUUAAAGUGCCUGGAGGCCAUGCCAGACGGGGGGAACGCAUCGAGCCCCAUGUAUUCAGGGCCGGGGCGUGUUUGGUUGUCCAGGGAAUCGCUGCUCGUGCUGCACCGUCGGGGAGCUACGAACCACCAGCUCUUGGACGAGCUGCCAAGCUGGUAUUAUAAGAAUGGGAGAUUUGUGUGUCUGAAACGUGCCGCGUCCAGUCCCCCGGUUAAUCUGCCCUUGCAGGCAGUGGCCAGCUUCUCUCUACCUGCAGGAGUCAGAGCGCUGGCACAGAAGCGCGAGGGAGGUAAGCCUGGCAAAGGCAAGCUGUGCACGAGGCUGCCAAUCUGCUCACCGACACCAGGCACACGCAAUCACCUGGCCAAGACCAACAACUAUCCCACUGCCAAGCGACAGCGAUCAAGACGCCAGCGCUGCAAGAGGCUGGCCGAAGCCACCUGCCCUUGUGCCCCACAGCGUCAGCCCCGGGGUCAGCUGCGUGCCCCGGGCCACCGACUGAACAGGCGCCACGUGUCUCGGGGCCCGUCACCCGGAACGCGGUCGGCUCCUUGCAGAAGUGCGCUCGUGUCCCGCACUGCGAAUGCUCGCUCCUGACAUCACCGGCGAUCCAAGCGGCAUCGCGCAUCACACCUGCUUCUGGUGUCAGGAGGCGCACGGGGGUGAUCCGCACCGGGUACGUGUGGAGUAGAGCAUGGAGCGAUGCAGGGGCGCAACCCUCUUUUCAAGGCAUAACACGAAUCACUCAACUGGCUCUCCGGUCAUCUCCCUGUCCCCUGCACAGACCCCCUACCCAUAGCCAUCACUGUCUUUGUUCCACCUUUGCCCAUGUCAGCCCCUGGCUCGUUUCAGCCAGUGGUUUCGUAGCGAGCAAAUUAAUUGCUGGAGGAUGCUCCUGUUUUAACCAGUAAACCAGCACUAGGCAAAUGAGUUGCAGACGGCAGUGAUGGCUGCAUUCAUGAGGCAGGGAUGGGAAGAGCUCCCCGGUGCACCAGGCUGGUGGCAGCAUCUCUCAGGCAUGAGCUAAGGGCAUGGCACGCAGGGCAUAGCCUCCCAAGCUUUCCUGUGCGCCCCAUGGCUGGCAGGACUGACGACGUAAAUGAUGGUCCCUUCACAGUUUGCCCAUCACCUCUGCAAAUUAAAGCAGUGAGGAGCUUGGAAGCACCUGCUGCUUCCCGGCUGGAUCUGAGUGCCCAGCUUCCAGCGUCUGGGGCACAGGGGGUUAACUCAUUUCCAGGAUUUAUGACCUCCGGUGCCUCCUGUGUUUGCAAUCCC